GUUUGUUGUCCUUUCAACUUCCGUAUCAGCUUUUAACAUCAAUCAGCAAAUUCAUCCUUUUCCAGAUGAAUAAUGAUCUCCCGCUGACUGGCAUGUCUGUCUGAAGAACAAGAAAUGUGAUGAAGCUGACCCUGUGGCACCUCUUUUCUCUAGAGCACAUAUCAUGGAUAUUCAGGUGCUUUUACCAACAGUUACCUAUGAAAAUGUUUGUGGAAAGCAGAGGACUGUGAGUAGGAUCAAAUUGUUUGACAUAGUAGAACAUGGAGUCCUGCUUCUCUUUAUUUGUUCACUCCUUUCACUUCACUACUUUGGUCCCUUUCUAAGGGUUGGGGAGGCUCCUUCUGCUGCGAUGAGCCAAGCUGAAAUGGUGUCCCUCUGGGCACUUGCUGGAGCAGGCUCUCCUUGUGGCAGCCCUGACUUUGGUGGCAGAGUAUUAACUAUUAGGGAGGGGAGGAGGGAUCAGAACACGAGGUAGGCCAGCUGCCAGCGACACUAAAAUUACUCUGUAACUACUCCAAUAUGUGUACCAGAAUUUAGGGACUCCGAUAUAUUCAGACGGAACAGUUUUACACAAAGGGUAGUUGAAAUACAGUCUGGAACAAACUGCCGAAGUCAGCAGUAGAAGCAAAUAGUGUAAAUCAGUUCAAGGAGGAGUUUUUGAAGAAGGCAGGGGGAAGAGCACAGAACUACUAGCUAGAAGUUUAAGUUUCAUGUGAUGGAACGCAGAUUGAUUUGUAUUUCCUGAGGUUAUGAGGGCAGGUCUUCAUGGACCGUAUCAUCCUCUUUGGGCUGCUUAAUGUUUGUAUGUGCUUUUGUGCUGUGUUUCAUUCUCUUUCAGUUCAGAAGGAUGCAUUUUUUUUUUCUUCUUGCUCCUACAGUCUCGUUGAAUAACAUGUUGCUGAGUAUAAUGCAUACUGCAGAAACUCUGUUUCCCAGCAUCUGGGUGAACUUCCCUGAAUUCAGUGUAGUUGUUUAGUUACAGUGAUAUCAGGCAGCAUCCUUUUCAGCUUAUAGGCAUAUAAAUUUGUAUGCAUUGUGUUGCAUUAUUUCUUAGGAAAUACCUGCAGAUGAUGAUAUAAUAUUUAUGUCUAUGCUGUUCUGUUAAAGAAAUCUUAACUGUGCAAUCAAGUCUGGAAGUGCUUUAGGUGUUUCAGGGUCCCACUAAUCCCAGCAUGGUCAUGCUGCUGUGAUGAAAGCUGUACAUCACAGGAGGGGGCAGAGCAGAAACCUGAGGUGGGGAACACAAAUCCACAUGAUGAUAUUUCCAUGUUUUUUUUUUUCUUGUGGCCAAGGACACGUGAUAGUGACAGAGUCCUUAGCUAGCUCCCCUGACUUUACAGGACUCCUUCUUUUAAAAGACUUGGGAGAGCAGUGAUGAGCCUGAUUCUGCAAGGUGCUAUGCUCCAUAAACUUCAUGGCAUGUCAGCAUAAGCCGAAUUUUUUCCAUGUCUUGCUGGAUGGAUCAGGCCUUGCUU
RNAcentral lists this long non-coding RNA (1475 nucleotides) under Anser brachyrhynchus (Pink-footed goose). Its description in RNAcentral is "lncRNA (ENSABRG00000000974.1)". The record is from RNAcentral. Lineage: Eukaryota; Metazoa; Chordata; Aves; Anseriformes; Anatidae.